Bufo bufo (common toad) is the source of this 706-nucleotide long non-coding RNA. RefSeq lists it as uncharacterized. The record is from RefSeq and is a predicted model, not a curated record. Lineage: Eukaryota; Metazoa; Chordata; Amphibia; Anura; Bufonidae. The transcript has 3 exons.
GGGAUCCAGCCGGUUCUCUCCGGUUCUGCCGAACCGUUUGUUAAAAUUACAGGCGGUUCGCAGGACCGGUGAGAAGCAGGGAUCCCGACCCGGUCCUGCAGCUGCGCCUGCACCCCUGUAUUUUUCAGCCUGCGGCCGUUACUUACAGUCAGUCAGCGUGAGCGUGGCUGUGUGUGUGUCAGCCAGUCUUCCACAGUGCUGCCGCCCUCCCCCCGCCCCCAGCCUCGCAGUCAUGGCAACAAAGGGGAGUGUCUUGAGAGUGAGCAGCGCCGCGAAGCUGCCAGCCCAGAACAGAGAAGGAGAGAGGAGUCCUCUCACUGUCUGCAGAGUGCCCUAGUUGCUGACAGUCCACACCCCACACACAGCCAUGAAAGAUUGAAGAGCCGGCCCCUAGCCUAACAGAAAGGAGUCUGGACAGGUCAGGACUCAGGACAGCCUGGUGUGUCUUAUAAGGCGGAAUAUAGGUUCCUCAAGCCAGCGAUUGUUUGAGGCAGAGAGAAGAUAGGAGGACCACACAGAGGAGAAGCCAACUGCUGCUGACGGGACCAGGGCCAGGCACAUUACAGGCAUUUGCUCUUCUGCAUUCUUUGAAACCUGUGAAGGAUCUAACUACCACUGAGCAAUAUAGUCCAUUUUCCAACGUCAUUCGUCAUCAACUCCAACCUGAACAGUUCUAAGGACUCUGACCUAAUCAUCGAAAGCAGUA